Molecule: ribosomal RNA, 1290 nt
Filed under: Candidatus Woesebacteria bacterium RIFOXYD1_FULL_40_21
Lineage: Bacteria; Candidatus Woeseibacteriota
Description: bacterial SSU rRNA
Rfam family: Bacterial small subunit ribosomal RNA
Source: RNAcentral
GAGCCGCGAACGGCUGAGUAUAUGGUAAGAAUCUACCUCUUGGUAAAGAAUACCUCACCGAAAGGUGAGCUAAUACUAUAUAAGAUCGUAAGAUGAAAGGACGUAACUGUCCGCCGAGAAAUGAGCUUACUUCCCAUCAGCUUGUUGGUAGGGUAAUGGCCUACCAAGGCUACGACGGGUAGGGGACGUGAGAGCGUGACCCCCCAGAACGGGACUGAGACACGGCCCGUACACCUACGGGUGGCAGCAACUAGGAAUCGUGCGCAAUGGACGAAAGUCUGACGCCGCGACGCCGCGUGAGGGAUGAAGGCCUUCGGGUUGUAAACCUCUUUUGCCAAGCAGUAAAUAGCUUGGAGAAUAAGCACCUGCUAACUCUGUGCCAGCAGCAGCGGUAAGACAGAGGGUGCAAGCGUUAUCCGGAUUUAUUGGGCGUAAAGCGUUUCGUAGGCGAUUUGGUAAGUUACACUUUAAAUACCAGAGCUUAACUUUGGAAAGGGGUGCAAUACUGCCAGAAUAGAAAUAUCUCGGGGUUUACCGGAACUCACGGUGUAGGAGUGAAAUCCGUUGAUAUCGUGAGGAACACCAAGGGCGAAGGCGGGUAACUAGGGAUUUUUUGACGCUGAUGAACGAAAGCUAGGGGAGCGAAAGGGAUUAGAGACCCCUGUAGUCCUAGCUGUAAACUUUGCUCGCUAGGGAUGCGCAAUUUAUUGUGCGUUCCGCAAGCUAACGCGUUAAGCGAGCCGCCUGGGGAGUACGAGCGCAAGCUUAAAACUCAAAGGAAUUGACGGGGAGGCGCACAACCAGUGGAGCAUGUGGUUUAAUUCGAGAGUAACCGAAGAACCUUACCCGGGUUUGACAUGCUACCGUUUUAGUCCACCAGAAAUGGAGGAUGAUUCGUAAGAAAGGUAGCACAGGUGUUGCAUGGCCGUCGUCAGCUCGUGCCGUGGGGUGUUCCCUUCAGUGGGGUAACGAGCGCAACCCCUGCCGUAUGUUGAAUAUUCAUACGGGACUUCCUGAUUUUAUAUCGGGAGGAAGUGGGGACGACGUCAGGUCAGCAUGGCCCUUAUAUCCGGGGCAACACACAUACUACAAUGGAGCCGACAAUGGGUUGCCAAGCGGUAACGCGGAGCUAAUCCCAUCAAACGGCUUCUCAGUGGGGAUUGAGGGCUGCAAUUCGCCCUCAUGAACGCGGAAUUGGUAGUAAUCGGCAAUCAGCUAUGUGCCGGUGAAUACGUUCUCGCCUCUUGUACACACCGCCCGUCAAGUCAGCAAAGUUGGGGGCAGCCGAAC